Molecule: ribosomal RNA, 301 nt
Filed under: uncultured bacterium
Lineage: Bacteria
Description: partial 16S ribosomal RNA
Rfam family: Bacterial small subunit ribosomal RNA
Source: RNAcentral
CAGUAGCCGCGGGAAUACGGAGGGUGCAAGCGUUAAUCGGAAUUACUGGGCGUAAAGCGCACGCAGGCGGUCUGACAAGUCAGAUGUGAAAUCCCCGGGCUUAACCUGGGAACUGCAUUUGAAACUGUCAGGCUGGAGUCUUGUAGAGGGGGGUGGAAUUCCAGGUGUAGCGGUGAAAUGCGUAGAGAUCUGGAGGAAUACCGGUGGCGAAGGCGGCCCCCUGGACAAAGACUGACGCUUAGGUGCGAAAGCGUGGGGAGCAAACAGGAUUAGAUACCCCUGUAGUCCCUGUCUCUUAUAC